RNAcentral lists this small RNA (291 nucleotides) under Tupaia belangeri (northern tree shrew). RNAcentral describes it as "7SK RNA (ENSTBEG00000020656.1)". The stretch from base 1 to 174 matches the Rfam family "7SK RNA". From Rfam's summary of the family: 7SK was discovered as an abundant small nuclear RNA in the mid-70s but a possible function has only recently been suggested. Two independent studies have found that 7SK RNA binds the CDK9/cyclin T complex (known as elongation factor P-TEFb). P-TEFb activates transcription by phosphorylating the C-terminal domain of RNA polymerase II. Lineage: Eukaryota; Metazoa; Chordata; Mammalia; Scandentia; Tupaiidae. The record is from RNAcentral.
GAAUGCAAGGGUGACCUGGCUGUGACCCUACCACCCCAUUGAUUGCCUGGGCCCAUUAGACUGAUGUGGUGGCCCGGUGUCUUCUUUCUCCCUCACCUCUGUGUACAUCAGGCUUUGCGUUGCGGACAACAGGAAUGACCUUCCCUGAUAAAGGCGGAUUGGUCCUCUGCAAGGCCAGGCAGUGCAGACGUUGUUCGGGGGAGCUUCAAAAUGGGUUUUUUUCUCUGAUCCCAAAAUGACUCCCAAAGCCUAGAGAUGAACUCUGUGGGAAGGGGCUUGCUGGUUUUUUCU